AUUGAACGCUGGCGGCAGGCCUAACACAUGCAAGUCGAACGGCAGCACAGAAGAGCUUGCUCUUUGGGUGGCGAGUGGCGGACGGGUGAGUAAUGUCUGGGAAACUGCCCGAUGGAGGGGGAUAACUACUGGAAACGGUAGCUACUACCGCAUAACGUCGCGAGACCAAAGUGGGGGACCUUCGGGGCUCACACCAUCGGAUGUGCCCAGAUGGGAUUAGCUAGUAGGUGGGGUAAUGGCUCACCUAGGCGACGAUCCCUAGCUGGUCUGAGAGGAUGACCAGCCACACUGGAACUGAGACACGGUCCAGACUCCUACGGGAGGCAGCAGUGGGGAAUAUUGCACAAUGGGCGCAAGCCUGAUGCAGCCAUGCCGCGUGUAUGAAGAAGGCCUUCGGGUUGUAAAGUACUUUCAGCGGGGAGGAAGGCGGUGAGGUUAAUAACCUCGCCGAUUGACGUUACCCGCAGAAGAAGCACCGGCUAACUCCGUGCCAGCCGCCGCCGUAA
Molecule: ribosomal RNA, 506 nt
Filed under: uncultured bacterium
Lineage: Bacteria
Description: partial 16S ribosomal RNA
Rfam family: Bacterial small subunit ribosomal RNA
Source: RNAcentral